This 1697-nucleotide long non-coding RNA is filed under the name Gallus gallus (chicken). RNAcentral's name for it is "lncRNA (ENSGALG00000038583.4)". Lineage: Eukaryota; Metazoa; Chordata; Aves; Galliformes; Phasianidae. The record is from RNAcentral.
ACGCGGACACGCACACGCGCGCGCGCACCGCCCCCUGAGGGCAGCGGCGCGGCACCGGGCUGCCCCGCAGCGCUCGGCCCGCGGCGGAGGGCGAAGUCGGGCGGUCGGUCGUGAUUCAGCGCUUCUGUUUUUAACCGGCCCGUGCCCGGUUCGGUGUCGCGGGGAUGAAGGGCUCCCAGCGCCGCGCCGGUGCCUCGUUGGGCGUUCGGAGCGAACGUGAGUUGUCAGGAGAGCGUGGAAAGAAGAUAUUUAUCGCAUUAGCCCUGCACGAUCAAGGAGAAGGCUGGCUGUUUGAGGAUGCUUUAUUAAUGAAUGCUAGAGGACAUCUUCACCCCUCCUAAGGUACGAGUGGCUCGUUACUGAAAAAUGCAGGGAGAUAAACAGCCAAGUCCUCUGUCUUCUGUGGCUCUUCAGUAGGUGUGUUACACUUGACAUACGUUAUUUAUGAGCCUCAGAUAGUGCCCAAGGCUAAACCUACCACUGCCAUUAAAAAAUAAAAGCCGAUGUUACCGACAGAGUGUUUCUGCUGCUGGUGGUUUAAUAACACGGGUGUCUUUCACGUGACUUGAAAGGCCCAAUGCGAAGUGCAUCAAAGGAGAGGAUAAUUUUUCUAUUGACUUCAAAGACGGAGCAGCCCUGCGGGGCGAUGCGCACUGCUGGGCUCGGGCAUCAGGCACCCACCUGACUGAAGCCUCCCCAGCAGCCUUGCAAAACACCACAUCCCCACCAAAAACACUUCCCCCUCCAGAAGCAAGCACCUAGCUGUGCUGCCAUCAGAGAAACCCUGCCUUAGGGAUAAAAAUGCCUUUCCUUCUUGCCCUCCAAAUCCUCCAAACCUUCCUCCCUCUCCACUGAGUUCAACUCCCACAUAGAAGAGGGGGGGAACCACCUCGCUAGCAAAUCCCACUCUGUGUUAAACUAUCAGAUGCAUUUAUACCCAUGGUGCUCCCAGUCCAGUUGUGGCUGACCGGAGGGCAAGCCUGCCAUUAGAGCCAUACAGUGACCCUAUCACCACUGUAUACCGUCAUACAGAACCUUUGUCACUCUAACCAAGGGGAGUAGAAGGGGCAGGAGAGAAUUGCUGGCAUCAGCCAAAAAAACCCUUGGCUCAAAAGCAAGCUCUCUGGUACAGGAAGGUGUCACAGAAUACAAGAUACCCUCCUGCAGUGGCUCCCUGAGCAAAACUGCUUGUAAAAUGAGUCUGCUGAGAGCACCCCCCACUCCUGGCGUGCUCUGGCUGCUUGCUGCCAACACAUUGCAGGCGCCCUGCAAAGUGCUGCUCACUUGCUCUGCAGUUGCUUGUGACAGCUUGGUUUGCAUGGGAAGAGGGAACGAAAGGGCUCUUCUGAAGAAGAGGAGCUUCCUGCAGCCCAUGCCGCCUCGCUCGUCCUUUUCUUUUGCUCAGAGAGAUGAUCCCAAACCUGCUGGGCUCAUCCCUGUGCACCAGGCAUGAGCACACGCAUGGGUUAACCCAGGCCUCCCUCCCUAAAACAGAGAGAAACUUGUUUUCCCCAGCACGAAACUCCUGUCGCAUACGGGCACGCAGACAGUCAUUUUAAUGACUAUACGCUGUUGUAAUGUUAGCAGAUAUUUUAAAGAGCAUAUCGCUCCAACAGAAGCCACUGCCAUCUGUGCUUCCCCAAUUAGGAAUGCAAGCAAAUAUGUAUUUUUACAGUAACAUCAAUAAAAUGUAACGC